Benincasa hispida (wax gourd) is the source of this 2988-nucleotide RNA transcript. It is a transcript of the gene named transcriptional regulator family protein, with no coding region annotated. The record is from RefSeq and is a predicted model, not a curated record. NCBI's taxonomy places the organism in Eukaryota, Viridiplantae, Streptophyta, Magnoliopsida, Cucurbitales, Cucurbitaceae.
AUGGAGCUUCAUCGGGGCGGGUUGUGUUUUCUUCAAUUCUCUUCGUUUUUCAUUCACUGGCUUCGACCACCCAGGAAAACUGAAAACCCUUCUCCCCAGUAUCUUCAUUGAUUCAAAAUUCCCAAGCUUUCUGCAUUCAAUUGAAAUCCAACUUUCGAUAUCUAAAAUCCCGUUUCUUUUUUUUUUUUUUUUGUUAAACUGUUUCGUUCCGGGUGCCGAGGAUCGAAGCUCUCAUGGCAUCGAAGAAGAAACAAUCUGAAGGUAUAGCUUUACUCUCGAUGUACAAUGAUGAAGAUGAUGAGAUGGAAGACGUUGAAGACCGAGAAGAAGAAGAUAGUGAACUGCAUCCGCAGCAGAUGCAAGAAGAGGGAGGAGAGGAAGAUUAUGCUGGAGUUAGGGUUGCAGAAGAAGAGUUGGUUGGGAACAGUGAUAGAAUGAUUAUCAGUGAUUCUGCAAAUGGUUCGACGCCGCCGGUUGCUAGUGAAAAUUCGACUCCAGAUAAGCUCAAAUUCGGGUCAUCGACACCGCAGCCGCCCCAGGUUGUGGUUUCAUCGUCGCCAAUGCCAUUACAAGCUGGGCAAUUUGAUAAUUCUGGUAGGAGAAGGGGGACAGUUGGGAUAGUUGAUUACGGUCACGAUGAAGUCGCAAUGUCUCCUGAGGCUGAGGAUGGAGAAAUUGAAGAAUCUGGUCGUGUCACAUUUGGCGAUGAGCUUUUAGGCACUAAUGGUGAUUUUGAUAGAACAUCUCCAGGAACUGUAACGGUCUCAACAUCAAACAAUCUAUCCACUCCUCAAAUUUCUGAAUCACCACAUUCUGGUUCAAUGAACAAUGUGAUAUUGGAAUCUGAAACUGAAAAAGUUGAGGACACCGUUGAAGAAGAGAAAAAAGACAUUGAUCCCUUGGACAAGUUUCUUCCUCCUCCACCAAAAGAAAAAUGCUCAGAGGAUCUGCAAAGGAAAAUCAAUAAGUUUCUCGAGUAUAAGAAAGCUGGAAAAAGCUUCAAUGCAGAAGUACGCAAUAGGAAGGACUACCGGAAUCCAGAUUUCUUGUUACAUGCUGUGAGGUAUCAAGAUAUUGACCAGAUUGGGUCUUGCUUCAGUAAGGAUGUGUUUGACCCUCAUGGAUAUGAUAAAAGUGACUACUAUACUGAAAUAGUAGAGGCUGACAUGAAACGUGAAAUGGAGAGGAAGGAGCUGGAAAGGAAGAAAAGUCCGAAGAUGGAGUUUGUUUCAGGAGGAACACAACCUGGUGGUACGGUAGUGACUGCUCCUAAAUUAAAUAUACCAUUUUCAGGUGUUUCUGCUAUCACUGGUAGUGGAUUACAUUCAGCAGCUCCUGCAUCUGAUGUCAUUCCUAGGGAUGGAAGACAAAACAAAAAAUCAAAAUGGGAUAAGGUAGAUGGAGAUAGAAGAAAUCCAGUAAUUUCCGGCGGGCCAGAUGCAGCUAGUGCCCAUGCAGCUUUACUAUCUGCUGCUAAUGUUGGCUCUGGAUACAUGGCUUUUGCGCAACAGAGACGACGAGAAGCUGAAGAAAAAAGAUCCAGCGAGAGGAAAUUGGAUAGAAGAUCCUAAGAGCAAUGAAUUUUGUUCCGUAGUAUUAAGUAUCAAACCAUUUUGAAAAACAAGGAGAAUGGCUUGUAGCUUCGUAUCUGUGACUAACCAUGUAUACGGUCAGAAUGAAAAUAUGAUCCGGGGGGGAAACAAAUUACACCAGAGCGAAGGAAGAAGCUCCUUUUUCUGUAAGUUUCACGAGAGUAAGAAAACUGACUACUGACAGUGUACGUGGGAACUUAUUUUUAGAUUUGCUUUCUCUAUUGAAUAGAAAAUAUUAAUGAGAUCUAUAAUGAUUGCUCCAAGGUCAGAAGUUUAGUCAGGUUAAGGCUUUAAAUACCAAUCAAGAAUUUACUUGCUACUUCCCUAGGCUUUGAAGGUUUAGGAAUAUUUGUUCACCAUGUUAAGCUUUGUUCUAUCUUUAUUCUGUUAUCUUUUUUGGCCAUGUAAUUUGUCUUUACAGUAGUGGAUUCCCUCCUAUGAAUGAAAAAAAGAGGAAAUCAGAACCCCUAAAGGAGAUACGUAGAUGUACAAAAUCCAUGUCCUAUAACCAUCAAGUCAGUGUAGAAAUUGACAAAUGAUCCUCUCUAUAUAGGUUAGCCAUAUUGAGACAGUGACAUUUUUGCCUUACAGCUUCCUGCCCUGUCCCUGUCCUUUUCCCCACGCCCCUCGAUCUUCUUCAACCCUACAAACAGCCAAAAUUCCAAGAAAUUAUGAACCCUACAAUCAAGCCGCUUGAUUUUAGGCUGUCUUCACAUUUAUCUCGUCUUCUAACUCUGUUUCUGGUUUUCCCCCACAGGCACACUAUCAAACCAAACGUCACCGGAUGCUUUAAAGUCAAUACCAUCAGGGCCUUUAAUUCUUCUCUCGAUGCAUGUUGGCCGAAAGUUACCUCUUUCCCUAAAUAAUCGCAAAAGAGUAAACAUGAGACCCCACACCUUGGCCUACCCCAUUCAUUAUCUCAUAACUUUGUUUGCCUUUUGUUCUAAAUUAAUCUAUCACAUUUAUGUCUCAACUUAGGAUAUGGGAAAACCGGGCUUGAUUUGAAGCAGAAUUAUGAUGUAAAUUUGGAAAAAGGAAUCUUAUUUCCAUAUUUUUACAUCGAAACAAAGGAGAUCCGAAGGCAGUAAUGAGAAAUAUGGUCGGUUUGCAAUUAUAAUGUUGUUGAAUGUUGAGUCCGAUCGAUCCCCUCUUUUUCUUCCUGCAGGUGGUGGUUGCAUAUUUUCAACACAAGUACGUGUGGGUCAGCUUGAAAAGGUAAGCCAUCGGCACCCGAGAAUUGGUUUGGAGUCUUUUUUUUUCCCCUCCACUCGAGAAUAUGGGAUGAGAUUCCUUGGAAUUGGAAGGCAAAGACUUUAUUCUAAUACUUCGAUGCACUUGAAGUUAUAUUUAUCUUUGUACAUUCUAUUUUAAUAAAAAAUAUUAAAAAAAAAAAAAA